Molecule: ribosomal RNA, 508 nt
Filed under: uncultured bacterium
Lineage: Bacteria
Description: bacterial SSU rRNA
Rfam family: Bacterial small subunit ribosomal RNA
Source: RNAcentral
UUCUGGCUCAGGAUGAACGCUAGCGACAGGCUUAACACAUGCAAGUCGAGGGGCAGCAUAGAAGUAGCAAUACUUGGUGGCGACCGGCGCACGGGUGAGUAACGCGUAUGCAACCUACCUAUCAGAGGGGAAUAACCCGGCGAAAGUCGGACUAAUACCGCAUAAAACAGGGGCACCGCAUGGUGAUAUUUGUUAAAGAAAUUCGCUGAUAGAUGGGCAUGCGUUCCAUUAGGUAGUUGGUGAGGUAACGGCUCACCAAGCCGACGAUGGAUAGGGGAACUGAGAGGUUGGUCCCCCACACUGGUACUGAGACACGGACCAGACUCCUACGGGAGGCAGCAGUGAGGAAUAUUGGUCAAUGGGCGGGAGCCUGAACCAGCCAAGUCGCGUGAAGGAAGAAGGAUCUAUGGUUCGUAAACUUCUUUUGCAGGGGAAUAAAGUGCAGGACGUGUCCUGUUUUGUAUGUACCCUGAGAAUAAGGAUCGGCUAACUCCGUGCCAGCCGCCGC